Non-coding RNA from Cinara cedri, 250 nucleotides. NCBI's taxonomy places the organism in Eukaryota, Metazoa, Arthropoda, Insecta, Hemiptera, Aphididae. The record is from the annotation of a GenBank genome assembly.
GUGGUUAAUUUAUACUCCCCUUUAUAUCCUACCUUCCUAACUUCUCAUCUAACUGGGUCCUAACCUGGGUGGGCCGCAACUCACCCGUCAUACGAAGCAUGUCCGUCUUUUUAAAUACAUUUUUAUAUUUUUCCGAGGGGUCGAUCUUAAAAUAAAAAUGUAUUAACCACUAAACAAACGAACUAUUUUAUAUAUUUAUUAUCUCCGUAUAUCUUUGUGGGAUACCCUGUGUCUACCUGUGAAUUGAAAC